Homo sapiens (human) is the source of this 7496-nucleotide RNA transcript. It is a transcript of the gene named RALGAPA1 pseudogene 1, with no coding region annotated. NCBI's taxonomy places the organism in Eukaryota, Metazoa, Chordata, Mammalia, Primates, Hominidae. The record is from RefSeq and is marked validated. The transcript has a single exon.
CGGCCGCUGGAGACGAGCGGCGGCGGCAGGCGGCCAGCCCGGGUCUACCUCGCUCCGUGCAGGGCCGGGAGAGGGAUCCGCCAUAUUGGAGCUGGGGCCGAAGGUGCCUUGGAGCCGCGGCGCGAGGCGGGUGGAGGUGGCGGCCCUGGCCUGGAUCGGGGAGGAGUCGGCUCUGCCCUGGCCCGCAAGGCUGGGGAGCUAAUGAGCCUCUCUGGCUAGUCUCCUCCCCGUCCACUCCCUCCACUUUCUGCCGCUGGGAGCCGGCUGUGGCAGUGGCAGUGGCAGUGGCAGUGGCAGCGGCAGGAUGUUCUCCAAGAAGCCGCACGGGGACGUGAAGAAGUCCACCCAGAAGGUGCUAGACACCAAGAAGGACGCACUGACUCGCCUCAAGCACCUGCGCAUCGUCAUCGAGUUAAUGGUGGAACUGGCUGAAGAAGAUGCAUUCAUCCAGAUGCCUGAAUCCUAGUUCAGAGUUUAUCUCGAGCUGUCUUCCUGAUGCGUAUUUGUUUUGGAAAGUGAUGUUUAUUUAGUGAAAAAAAGAAUGCAGAAUCUAUUGAUCUUAAACAGUUUUUCGACAACAUUUUUUACAUAUAUACUAUGUGUUCUUUGAAAAUUUUGUGACUAUCGAAGCUAGUCUUAAACAGAAAGGUCACAAGUCUCAAAGAGAGGAACUGGAUGCUAUACUUUUUAUUUUUGAGAAAAUUUUACAACUUCUUCCAGAAAGAAUUCAUCAGCCAUGGCAGUUUCAUAAUAUUGGAUUGAUUUAAAGAAGCUACUUCACACAGGAGACUCCUUAAAGAUUAGGCGGGAAGGUGUUCGUCUUUUCUUACUAUGGUUGCAAGCUCUUCAGAAUAACUGUAGCAAAGAACAGCUCUGGAUGUUUUCAUGCUUAAUCCCUGGAUUUUCAGCACCACAGUCUGAACAUGGACCUCGAACUUUAGAUAAUCUCAUUAAUCCUCCACUCAACCUUUAAGAAACUCAAGUCACUAUAGAAGAAAUCACUCCUCUUGUCCCCCCACAAUCAGGAGAUAAAGGGCAAGAAGAUCUCACAAGCUAUUUUCUUGAAGCACUUCUAAAAUACAUAGUCAUUCAGGUAAAAAGUUUAGAAUGGAAGAACAAAGAAAACCAAGAAAGGGGAUUUUCAUUUUUGUUUUCACAUUUUAAGAAAUAUUACUUGCCUUAUAUUUUUCCAAACAUCUGUAAGGAAAACAGUUUAUAUCAUCCUAUACUUGACAUCCCGCAGAUGAGACCAAAGCCACAUUAUGUCAUGAUAAAGAAAGAUGCUGAAACCAAUGAAGCAAUCUAUUGUACAAAGGAGCCUUUCAUUAAGGCUCGUGUUAUUGUCAUUCGUUGGCUGGUUUCUUUCUGGCUGGAGCCAAAACCACAUACAGGACCUCAUAUUCCUGGGAUGGAAGGUGAAGUCUUGCCAAAGAAUAUUCAGAGAGCAGCUGCUAGUUUAGUAUCCAGAGAAGAAAGCAAAAAUGAUAAUGCUGAUAAAGCAGACAGAACUACAGAACCCGAACAGUCUCAUUCCAAUACAAGCACUCUCACGGAGCGAGAACCUAGCUCAUCUAGUCUCUGUAGUAUUGAUGAAGAACAUCUCACAGACAUUGAAAUAGUUCGCAGAGUUUUUUCUUCUAAAAGGAGUAAUGUAAACUUUGUGACAGAGAUAUUUCGUCAGGCAUUUUUAUUACCAAUUUGUGAAGCAGCAGCUAUGAGAAAAGUGGUAAAAGUAUAUCAAGAAUGGAUCCAACAAGAGGAAAAACCUUUGUUCAUGCAAGAGCCUGAAGAAAUUGUGAUCACUUCUUCAGACCUCCCUUGCAUUGAAAAUGUCACAGACCAUGAUAUUUCAAUGGAAGAAGGAGAAAAAAGAGAAGAGGAAAAUGGGACCAAUACUGCUGAUCAUGUUCGAAAUUCCAGUUGGGCAAAAAACGGCUCCUACCAAGGUGCUCUUCAUAACACCUCUGAAGAAGCCACAGAACAAAACAUACGAGCUGGUACCCAGGCAGUUUUGCAGGUGUUUAUUAUAAACUCAUCAAAUAUAUUUCUUCUUGAACCUGCAAAUGAAAUAAAAAAUCUUCUGGAUGAACACACAGAUAUGUGUAAACGCAUUCUUAACAUUUAUCGGUACAUGGUUGUACAAGUAUCAAUGGACAAAAAGACUUGGGAACACAUGCUGCUUGUGUUGCUCAGAGUCACGGAAUCUGUACUGAAGAUGCCAUCACAAGCUUUUCUACAGUUCCAAGGGAAAAAAAAUAUGACCUUGGCAGGUCGACUUGCAGGACCACUUUUCCAGACCCUUAUAGUUGCCUGGAUCAAAGCAAACCUAAAUGUGUACAUCUCCCGAGAACUUUGGGAUGACUUACUGUCAGUAUUGUCAUCGUUGACCUAUUGGGAAGAGUUGGCCACUGAGUGGUCACUGACUAUGGAGACAUUAACUAAAGUUUUAGCUAGGAAUUUAUAUAGUUUGGAUCUCAGUGAUUUACCAUUGGAUAAGCUGAGUGAACAGAAACAAAAAAAGCACAAAGGGAAAGGAGUUGGACAUGAAUUUCAGAAAGUUUCAGUUGACAAGUCAUUUUCUAGAGGAUGGAGUCGUGAUCAGCCUGGCCAAGCCCCAAUGAGACAGAGGAGUGCAACAACCACUGGUUCUCCAGGAACCGAAAAGGCGAGGAGUAUAGUACGGCAAAAAACUGUCGAUAUUGAUGAUGCUCAAAUACUUCCCCGCUCAACUAGAGUCAGACAUUUUUCACAAAGUGAAGAAACUGGAAAUGAAGUUUUUGGUGCUUUGAAUGAGGAGCAGCCAUUGCCUUGAAGUAGCAGCACUUCUGACAUCUUGGAACCAUUCACUGUUGAACGAGCCAAAGUCAAUAAAGAGGACAUGAGCCAAAAACUGCCUCCUCUUAAUAGUGAUAUUGGCAGCAGCAGUGCUAAUGUUCCUGAUCUGAUGGAUGAGUUUAUAGCAGAAUGACUUCGAAGUGGUAAUGCCUCGACUAUGACAAGAAGAGGAAGUAGUCCAGGCAGCCUGGAAAUUCCCAAAGACCUCCCUGAUAUUCUAAACAAGCAGAACCAGAUGCGCCCUAUUGAUGACCCAGGUGUGCCCUCAGAAUGGACUUCUCCUGCCAGUGCAGGGAGCAGUGAUCUUAUCAGCUCAGAUAGUCAUUCGGAUUCUUUCAGCGCUUUCCAAUAUGAUGGCCAAAAAUUUGACAAUUUUGGCUUUGGAGCCGACACUGGGGUUACGUCCUCUGCUGAUGUGGAUUCAGGUUCUGGCCAUCAUCAGAGUGCUGAAGAGCAGGAAGUGGCUAGUCUAACUACUCUUCAUAUAGAUUCUGAAACAAGCAGUCUUAAUCAGCAAGCUUUCUCUGCUGAAGUUGCAACUAUUACUGGUUCAGAAAGUGCUUCCCCAGUCCACUCACCUCUGUGCUCCAGGUCACAGACUCCUUCCCCUUCUACAUUGAAUAUAGAUCACAUGGAACAGAAGGAUCUGCAGCUCGAUGAGAAGCUCCACCACGCUGUUCUUCAGACACCAGAUGAUCUAGAAAUUAGUGAAUUUCCAUCAGAAUGUUGUAGUGUGAUGGCAGGAGGUACUCUGACUGGAUGGCAUGCUGAUGUUGCUACUGUAAUGUGGCGAAGAAUGCUAGGCAUUUUGGGAGAUGUAAAUUCAAUCAUGGAUCCUGAAAUACAUGCUCAAGUUUUUGAUUACCUCUGUGAACUUUGGCAGAAUCUAGCUAAGAUUAGAGAUAACCUCGGCAUUUCAGCUGAUAACCUGACCUCCCCUUCUCCACCAGUUUUAAUUCCUCCACUGAGAAUUCUUACACCUUGGCUUUUUAAGGCAACCAUGUUGACUGAUAAAUAUAAACAAGGUAAAUUACAUGCAUAUAAACUUAUUGGUAAUACAAUGAAAAGAAGACAAGAUGUUUCUCCAAAUAGAGAUUUUCUAACACAUUUCUACAAUAUAAUGCAUUGUGGAUUACUUCAUAUUGACCAGGAUAUUGUCAAUACAAUCAUCAAACACUGCUCACCUCAAUUUUUUUCACUUGGUUUGCCUGGUGCCACAAUGCUUAUUAUGGAUUUUAUUGUAGCAGCUGGUAGAGUGGCUUCUUCAGCUUUUCUCAAUGCACCAAGAGUAGAAGCACAAGUUCUUCUGGGAUCUUUGGUUUGCUUUCCCAACUUAUAUUGUGAACUGCCUUCUCUUCAUCCCAACAUUCCUGAUGUUGCUGUGUCUCAGUUUACAGAUGUUAAGGAACUUAUAAUCAAAACUGUAUUAAGCUCGGCAAGAGAUGAGCCCUCUGGUCCUGCACGAUGUGUAGCACUUUGUAGUUUAGGUAUUUGGAUUUGUGAAGAACUAGUCCAUGAGUCUCAUCAUCCUCAAAUUAAGGAAGCUCUGAAUGUGAUUUGUGUUUCCUUAAAGUUUACUAAUAAAACAGUAGCCCACGUAGCUUGUAACAUGCUUCACAUGCUGGUUCAUUAUGUACCUAGACUUCAGAUUUACCAGCCUGAUUCUCCCUUGAAAAUUAUUCAGAUCCUAAUAGCUACCAUCACCCAUCUUUUACCAAGUACAGAGGCUUCAUCUUAUGAAAUGGACAAGAGGUUGGUAGUAUCUUUACUUCUCUGCCUUCUGGACUGGAUCAUGGCCUUACCUCUAAAGACACUGCUCCAACCAUUUCAUGCUACGGGAGCAGAAAGCGAUAAAACAGAAAAAUCUGUUCUCAAUUGCAUUUAUAAGGUUUUACAUGGGUGUGUUUAUGGAGCUCAGUGUUUUAGCAAUCCAAGGUAUUUUCCCAUGAGCCUCUCUGAUUUGGCAUCUGUAGAUUAUGAUCCUUUUAUGCAUUUGGAAAGUCUGAAAGAGCCUGAGCCUCUGCGCUCUCCUGACUCAGAACGAUCUUCUAAACUCCAGCCAGUAACAGAAGUGAAAACUCAAAUGCAGCAUGGAUUAAUCUCUAUAGCAGCCCGCACUGUUAUUACACAUCUGGUAAAUCACCUGGGCCAUUAUCCAAUGAGCGGUGGUCCUGCUAUGCUAACAAGUCAGGUGUGUGAAAAUCACGACAAUCAUUACAGUGAAAGUACUGAACUUUCUCCUGAACUCUUUGAGAGUCCAAAUAUCCAGUUCUUUGUGUUAAUAAUACAACCUUAGUGUCCUGUAUCCAGAUCAGAUCAGAAGAGAAUAUGCCUGGAGGAGGUUUAUCUGCUGGCCUUGCAUCAGCCAAUUCAAAUGUCAGAAUCAUAGUACGUGAUCUCUCUGGAAAAUAUUCAUGGGAUUCUGCUAUACUGUAUGGCCCACCUCCUGUAAGUGGCUUGUCAGAACCUACAUCUUUCAUGCUUUCAUUGUCUCACCAAGAGAAGCCAGAAGAGCCUCCGACAUCUAAUGAAUGCUUAGAAGAUAUAACCGUAAAAGAUGGACUUUCCAGUUUAAAAGAUUUAGAGAAACUGUACCAACUUGGGAUACAAUAAGAGAUGAAGAAGAUGCUCUUGAUGAACUCUUGCAGUAUUUGGGUGUUACUAGUCCUGAAUGCUUACAGAGAACUGGAAUCUCACUUAAUAUUCCUGCUCCACAACCUGUGUGCAUUUCUGAAAAACAAGAAAGUGAUGUUAUUAAUGCUAUCCUUAAGCAACAUACAGAAGAAAAAGAAUUUGUUGAGAAGCACUUUAAUGACUUAAACAUGAAAGCUGUGGAACAAGAUGAACCAAUACCUCAAAAACCUCAGUCAGCAUUUUAUUAUUGCAGAUUGCUUCUUAGUAUAUUGGGAAUGAAUUCCUGGGACAAACGGAGGAGCUUUCAUCUCCUGAAGAAAAAUGAAAAGCUACUUAGAGAACUUAGGAACUUGGAUUCAAGGCAGUGCCGAGAGACACACAAGAUUGCAGUAUUUUAUGUUGCUGAAGGACAAGAAGACAAACACUCCAUUCUCACCAAUACAGGAGGAAGUCAAGCAUAUGAAGAUUUUGUAGCUGGUCUUGGUUUGGAGGUAAAUCUUACAAACCAUUGUGGUUUUAUGGGAGGACUACAAAAAAACAAAAGCACUGGAUUGACCACUCCAUAUUUUGCUACCUCUACAGUAGAAGUAAUAUUUCACAUGUCAACAAGAAUGCCUUCUGAUUCUGAUGAUUCUUUGACCAAAAAAUUGAGACAUUUGGGAAAUGAUGAAGUGCACAUUGUUUGGUCAGAGCAUACUAGAGACUACAGGAGAGGAAUUAUUCCCACAGAAUUUGGUGAUGUCCUUAUUGUAAUAUAUCCAAUGAAAAAUCACAUGUUCAGUAUUCAGAUAAUGAGAAAACCAGAGGUUCCCUUCUUUGGUCCCCUUUUUGAUGGUGCUAUUGUGAAUGGAAAGGUUCUACCCAUUAUGGUUAGAGCAACAGCUAUAAAUGCAAGCCGUGCUCUGAAAUCUCUGAUUCCAUUGUAUCAAAACUUCUAUGAGGAGAGAGCACGAUACCUGCAAACAAUUGUCCAGCACCACUUAGAACCAACAACAUUUGAAGAUUUUGCAGCACAGGUUUUUUCUCCAGCUCCCUACCACCAUUUACCAUCUGAUGCCGAUCAUUAAAUAUCAGUUCUGUUUAUCUGAAGGCUCCUACCCAGAGAUUCUACCCAGUGAAACUCCCACAGCAGCGCAGGUAGAUGGGGCUGACCUGGCCUCUCCAAUGUCUCCUCGAACUAGCAAAAGCCGCAUGUCCAUGAAGCUGCGUCGUUCCUCUGGCUCAGCCAAUAAAUCCUAAGGAGACAAGCAGCCCAGCAGUGAUCAGCAGUAGCCACCUUAGCAUGAACAUAGGGUUAACCCUUUCAGGCCUUCAUGUCUGCCAUAACAUGCAUGUUUCUUCCUGUACAUUUAUUUGAGAAAACACUGGAUUUAAAUAAUUUUAAAUAAUUUGUAGCUUAAUAUUAAAGAUUUAAGUUAUUUAUUGUUUCAUUUUUUUCCCACAAUCCAAGCUGCCAUAUUUUGAGGGCAGGGGGAGUUUUAUUCUACACCCUUUACCUUCCUAGAUAAUUAUGUCUAAGUAGUUUUAUCUUUAAUUUCAUGGUUAACUGUGAGCCAAAAUACAAUUGGACAAUUAGUCUCAUUAUUUAUUGUGCUCCAUUGCAACUUUAUGGUUCAAUAAAUAUAUAAUUUUUUACAAAUGUAAAAUUUUACAUUUAAGCAUUUGUAAAGUUACAGCAAAAGAUGUACCUGUUAAUACACAGAAUGUGUACAGAUUAUUUGUUAUGACAAUAAAACACUCAAAAUAAAUGGUCUUUAGCAUCUCAAAUUCCAACUGAAAUCAUUUUAGUAUUAACUCUUCUUCCCAAAGCAAUGUCUCAUUUCUUGGCUGUGCAGGUGAUGCCAUGUUAUAUCCAAUAACUAGAAAAAUCACUGUGCUGAACUUUUAUGUUUAGCUUCCAAGUAUUUUUCUAAUGUUUUGCAUUUCAAGUGGUAUCACUGUUAAAUGCCAUUUGUUUUCAGAUUGUGGCCUUUUAUUAUUGGCUGCUAGAUCCUGGUGUUUCUAUGUUCUUUUUUAAGCACCAAAAA